This 301-nucleotide ribosomal RNA is filed under the name uncultured bacterium. RNAcentral's name for it is "partial 16S ribosomal RNA". It matches the Rfam family "Bacterial small subunit ribosomal RNA", at positions 509 to 807 of the family's 1533-position model. The record is from RNAcentral.
CAGCCGCCGCGGGAAUACGGAGGGUGCGAGCGUUAGUCGGAAUUACUGGGCGUAAAGCGUACGCAGGCGGUUUGUCAAGUCAGAUGUGAAAUCCCCGAGCUUAACUCGGGAACUGCAUUUGAAACUGGCAGGCUAGAGUCUCGUAGAGGGGGGUAGAAUUCCAGGUGUAGCGGUGAAAUGCGUAGAGAUCUGGAGGAAUACCGGUGGCGAAGGCGGCUUUCUGGACUGUAACUGACGCUCAUGCACGAAAGCGUGGGGAGCAAACAGGAUUAGAUACCCGUGUAGUCCCUGUCUCUUAUAC